Molecule: ribosomal RNA, 465 nt
Filed under: Vreelandella stevensii
Lineage: Bacteria; Pseudomonadati; Pseudomonadota; Gammaproteobacteria; Oceanospirillales; Halomonadaceae
Description: partial 16S ribosomal RNA
Rfam family: Bacterial small subunit ribosomal RNA
Source: RNAcentral
CCUACGGGUGGCAGCAGUGGGGAAUAUUGGACAAUGGGCGAAAGCCUGAUCCAGCCAUGCCGCGUGUGUGAAGAAGGCCUUCGGGUUGUAAAGCACUUUCAGUGGGGAAGAAAGCCUUGGGGCUAAUACCCUCGAGGAAGGACAUCACCCACAGAAGAAGCACCGGCUAACUCCGUGCCAGCAGCCGCGGUAAUACGGAGGGUGCGAGCGUUAAUCGGAAUUACUGGGCGUAAAGCGCGCGUAGGCGGUCUGAUAAGCCGGUUGUGAAAGCCCCGGGCUCAACCAGGGAACGGCAUCCGGAACUGUCAGGCUAGAGUGCAGGAGAGGAAGGUAGAAUUCCCGGUGUAGCGGUGAAAUGCGUAGAGAUCGGGAGGAAUACCAGUGGCGAAGGCGGUCUUCUGGACUGACACUGACGCUGAGGUGCGAAAGCGUGGGUAGCAAACAGGAUUAGAUACCCGUGUAGUC